Molecule: long non-coding RNA, 273 nt
Organism: Puntigrus tetrazona (Sumatra barb)
Lineage: Eukaryota; Metazoa; Chordata; Actinopteri; Cypriniformes; Cyprinidae
Exons: 3
Source: RefSeq, a predicted model, not a curated record
AAGAAGAAGAAGAAGAAGCGUAAUGAUCAAGAAACUUCAUUGCCAUACUAUGAGUGCAGCAGGUGCAAUGAUAUUAUGCAGGACUUGAAAAUAGUCCCCCAAGGCCAAUGGACUGGGAUUAUUAAGUGUUUAAAGCCCUGUACAGUGACAAAGGAGAUAAUGGCUGAAAGAGGGAUAGACUUGGCCUUCACUGAUCAACAAAAGAACAUAAUGAUCACAUCACUUUUAAGACAAAAGUGUAAUGAUGGAGAGAUGACUUUAUCUCUGUGUAUG